GGACACCAUUGAGUUCCCGGACUCACUCCCUCUCCGGUGUUGCUUAUAUGCCUAACUCGUAUAGAUCAUACAAUAAUUCGCCGCCUAUUAGUAUAAGUAGAGGUUCUUUCAAUCAUAGAAACUUGUCAUCUCACAGGUCUUACCAUUCUCAUAUUGCGUCCCCGCAUUCCAUCGGCAUUCCUCUAUCAUCACCCUUGAGUUCGAGAUACAUGGCCCCUUGUUUUCCUAGUUCGAGUAAUGCAUCUGCGAGCUUUCUUGUUGCCUCAUCCGACCGACAAUCGUACUUGCGACACUGCAAUUCGGGUACAAGUCUGUCA
Molecule: unclassified non-coding RNA, 317 nt
Filed under: Hevea brasiliensis (rubber tree)
Lineage: Eukaryota; Viridiplantae; Streptophyta; Magnoliopsida; Malpighiales; Euphorbiaceae
Source: RNAcentral